GUGGGUGGGAAAGGUGGACAGCCCAGGUGAGCUUCCUUUGUUUAGAAAGCCCACCAAAAGCCUUGGAAGGAGGGGCUCUACUGCAAGCCAGGCAGCCAA
Molecule: long non-coding RNA, 99 nt
Organism: Sapajus apella (tufted capuchin)
Lineage: Eukaryota; Metazoa; Chordata; Mammalia; Primates; Cebidae
Exons: 3
Source: RefSeq, a predicted model, not a curated record